Molecule: ribosomal RNA, 497 nt
Filed under: uncultured bacterium
Lineage: Bacteria
Description: partial 16S ribosomal RNA
Rfam family: Bacterial small subunit ribosomal RNA
Source: RNAcentral
GAUGAACGCUGGCGGCGUGCCUAAUACAUGCAAGUCGAGCGAACGGACGAGAAGCUUGCUUCUCUGAUGUUAGCGGCGGACGGGUGAGUAACACGUGGAUAACCUACCUAUAAGACUGGGAUAACUUCGGGAAACCGGAGCUAAUACCGGAUAAUAUUUUGAACCGCAUGGUUCAAAAGUGAAAGACGGUUUUGCUGUCACUUAUAGAUGGAUCCGCGCUGCAUUAGCUAGUUGGUAAGGUAACGGCUUACCAAGGCAACGAUGCAUAGCCGAACUGAGAGGGUGAUCGGCCACACUGGAACUGAGACACGGUCCAGACUCCUACGGGAGGCAGCAGUGGGGAAUCUUCCGCAAUGGGCGAAAGCCUGACGGAGCAACGCCGCGUGAGUGAUGAAGGUCUUCGGAUCGUAAAGCUCUGUUAUUAGGGAAGAACAUAUGUGUAAGUAACUGUGCACGUCUUGACGGUACCUAAUCAGAAAGCCACGGCUAACUACGUG